AUUCUGACUGUGCGAAGGUAGCAUAAUAAAUUGUCUUUUAAAUGAAGGCUUGAAUGAAAGGUUGGACAAAGUGUCAUCUGUUUCUUAAAUAUUUAUUGAAUUUGACUUUCAAGUGAAAAGGCUUGAAUAAAUUAAAAAGACGAUAAGACCCUAUAAAUCUUUACAAUAAAUAUAUUUUAUAUUUUAGUUUAUUAAGUGUAUAAGAUAUUGAAUAUAUAGUUGUUUCGCUGGGGCGGCGUGGAUAUAUUAAUAAACUGUCUAUAUAUUAAAACCAAUAAUUAUUGAUUAAUAAGAAUGAUCCUUAAACAGAUUAGAAGAUUAAGAUACUUUAGGGAUAACAGCGUUAUUUUUUUUGAGAGUUCUUAUCGAAGAAAAAGUUUGCGACCUCGAUGUUGAAUUAAAGUUCUUUAUUGAGCAAUCAGUAAGCAGAU
RNAcentral lists this ribosomal RNA (431 nucleotides) under Pagurus brachiomastus. RNAcentral's name for it is "partial 16S ribosomal RNA". It matches the Rfam family "Bacterial large subunit ribosomal RNA", at positions 1939 to 2572 of the family's 2925-position model. Lineage: Eukaryota; Metazoa; Arthropoda; Malacostraca; Decapoda; Paguridae. The record is from RNAcentral.